CUUGGGCCAAGCCCCUCGGAGGUGUCCUCGACGCCGCCGCCGCCUCGGCUCCCAGCCACCUCGCGGGCCGGCCUGGCCGCGCCACCGUUGGCCCUCGCCACCCCACCCACCACGCCUGACUUGCAUCUUCUCUCGUCCAGACUCUUUACUCUCCCUGGUCUUACCUGCAUCUACUAUCCAUGCUUUAAUUUUUUUAAAAAGAAAUUAAAUCCCCAUCGGCCACCUCCGGCCCCACCGCCUCCAGGACUUGCCUUUGCACUCCAAGCCCGUGCUCCCUCCCGUCCCGGCCGGCCCUGAGUGGCCUGGGGCCCCCUUUCUCUGUCUCCCGCCGUCUCUCAGCACCUCCCCUUCACCUCUCCAUGCACUAGCCACAAGGCCUUUUAGUGGUUAUUUGAAUAAUCCACACUCUGCCUUCCCGAAGCCAUUCCCUCGGCUUGCCCCUGUGAUGUAGCGGCCCCUGUCACAGACCAACUGAAGACACCUGUGGUCUGACCCAUGUUGAAUCAGGCAGAGCAGGACAACUUCAGAGGCUGGAGGCCCAGCGGAGCGCCCGGCAGAUGCCAGGGAAGGAGCCGGGUUUCUGGAAUUGAUAAAAAAACUGACGUACAGAGAGAUUGAGAGGUGCUUAUUUAUGGACACAGAGCUGAGAGAUGGCAGAGAUGGGAUUCAAACCCACGCAGCCUGGCUCCAGAGUCAAUGCUAUGUUGGCCUCUCAUGUAGGGUAUGAAAAGACUGAAUCUAAUCAACAGUGACAGAAGAUUAUUUCUGCUACCAUAUUGAAUGGAAACAAGAUUCACAAGCAAGGACUGAUACUAAUGUCAAGUGAGAAAGAGAGAGAGGCAGAGACACAGGAGGAAGGAGAAGCAGGCUCCAUGCCGGGAGCCCGACGUGGGACUCAAUCUUGAGACUCCAGGAUCGCACCCUGGGCCAAAGGCAGGCGUUAAACCGCUGAGCCACCCAGGGAUCCCCCACAAGGAUGGAUUUUAAGAACCCAAGAAUCUCUGCUCUUAAUUCUCCCAACCACAAGAGAGAGGGAUAGUGAUUUCUACCCACAUAUGCCUAGUUCCCAUCUGACAUGCGACAUUGGUCCUUGAAGUUUAAUAAUCAUGGUCACGGUAACUAGCCUUCUGAGCAUGCAGGAAAGUGAGCUAUGUGUAAGUGAGAAACAUCUUCUACGUCUAGCUCUAACAACACUCAGAAAUGCAAGCUCACCUGGGUAUGCUAAGGAUUCAUCAGCACUCUCCCACAACUGUGUGUGGCCAAGUUGUAUGUACUUGUUUGGCUAUAAAAUAAGAGGUUCAGUAACUACUUGUUGUUGUGGGUGGGCAAUUAAGCAGUUGGUGAUACAAUAUCUAAGAAGAAAUAUCUAAGUUCUAUUUCCUGACAAAGGGAAGCUUAAAAUUUCUCAGAUUUUUCUUAGUACAUAUUGACAUUUAAAAGGGUGAAGAAAAAGGUGUGAUACCAGCUGUCUUCAUGUACGAGUCAGUAAUAAAUUUCCAUGACAAUCA
This is a long non-coding RNA of Canis lupus familiaris (dog), 1508 nucleotides long. RefSeq lists it as uncharacterized. The record is from RefSeq and is a predicted model, not a curated record. NCBI's taxonomy places the organism in Eukaryota, Metazoa, Chordata, Mammalia, Carnivora, Canidae. The transcript is spliced from 4 exons.